RNAcentral lists this long non-coding RNA (5543 nucleotides) under Marmota monax (woodchuck). Lineage: Eukaryota; Metazoa; Chordata; Mammalia; Rodentia; Sciuridae. The record is from RNAcentral.
AAAGAGCCGAGUUCCAUUAUGGUCUGCACAGAGGUAAUUUGGGCAUAGUACGGAACUCCCAGUAGGUCCCACCUGGUGUCCCAUUAGUGGGGUGCAGCUCCCCUUAGUGUACGCCAGGAGGCACCAGGAGGAUUGUUAUGGACACAGCUGAGGGGUGGACAGAUCCUCUGUAUUGGGGGCUGAAUAGGAGAACACUUGAGUACAAUAUCCAGAAUCCUCCCGGCCCGCAGCUGCCCAGGGUAUCUGCAGUGACACCACAGAGCGCCAAAGCACACUACCCAGAAUCCCUGGGGGCCGGCUGCUUGGCGGGUGAGGGGGCCCAUCUCGGUGAGAGCUGCGUGGGCAGACCUCUGGACUACACUACCCAGAAUGCGAAUGGCCCUCGGCUUCCAGGGAGGGCCAACACCCUAAUGGUUGCAUGAACUGACCUCUGGACUGCACUACCCAGAAUGCUCGGGGCUAUCGACUUCCGGGAACUGGGGAAAAUCACCCUAAGGUUUGCGUGGGCAGACCUCUGGACUACACUACCCUGAAUUCUCAGGGUCCUCGGCUUCCGGGGAGGGACAUCACCUGAAUGGUUGCAUGAGCCGAUCUGGGGACUACACUACCCAGAAUGCUCGGGCUGCGGCUUCCAGGGAGGGGCAUCACGGUGGGGGUUGCAUGGGCCUACCUCUGGACUACACUACCCAGAAUGCUAAUGACCCUCAGCUUCCAGGAGGGGGUGCAUCGUUUCGGGGGGCGGGGUGGGGGGGCGACCUCUGGACUACACUACCCAGAAUGAUCAGGGCCGCAGCUUCCAGGACUGGGGCAUCACGGUGAGGGUUGCGCGGGCAGACCUCUAGACUACACUACCCAGAAUGCUAAUACCCUCGGCUUGGGGGGGGGGGCAUCACGGUGAGGGUUGCAUGGGCCUACCUCUAGACUACACUACCCAGAAAGCUAAUGACCCUCGGAUUCCAGGAGGAGGGGGGGCAUCACAAUGAGGGUUGCGUGGGAGGACCUCUGGACUACACUACCCAGAAUGAUCGGGCCGCGGCUUCCAGGAAGGGGCAUCACCGUGAGGGUUGCGUGGGCAGGAUGCUGGACUGCAGUACCCAGAAUGCUCCAGAGACCAUCAUGUUGAGGGUGCCUGGGGAGAACGCUGGAUUAUAGUGCCCAGAGGCCCUUGGCUUCCAGGGGCCAUCAUGGUGAGGGCUUCCUGGGCUGGAUGCUGGACUGCAAUACCCAGAAUGCUCCAGGGGCCAUCAUGGUGAGGGUGCCUGGGGAGAACGCUGGACUACAGUGCCCAGGGGCCUUGGCUUCCAGGGGCCAUCAUGGUGAGGGUUGCGUGGGCACGAUGCUGGACUGCAAUGCCCAGAAUGCCUGGGGCCCGCCUUCCCAGAGGCCUCUGCGGCCUCCCAGAGUUGGGCACAGAGGUGAGGAGUCCUGUGUGCUGUGUGGAGUGCUGGCCAGCUGCAGGUGGCCACCCAGGGCUGACUGACACCGGCGUGUUCAUUUCUCUGCCUGCUCCACGGGCUGCAGCUGUGCUUGGAGGGGCUUAGUGCAUAGGAUGGCGCUUAGGAAGGUGGUCUCUUUGACGCUUUCUCCUGAACGUCCACUGCAGUGAUGUCACCGAUGGGCACAACUGGACAUCAGACGAUGUCCACAUCUGUGAUGUCACUGAUGGGCACAACUGGACAUCAGAUGAUGUCCACGUCUGUGAUGUCACCGAUGGAUACAGCUGGACAUCAGAUGAUGUCCACGUCUGUGAUGUCACCGAUGGGUACAGCUGGACAUCAGAUGAUGUCCACGUCUGUGAUGUUACUGAUGGGUACAGCUGGACAUCAGAUGUAGCAGUGAGUCAGAUCUCACUAGGUAGCUACUGAAGGUGGAGGAAAGAGCCGAGUUCCAUUAUGGUCUGCACAGAGGUAAUUUGGGCAUAAUAAAGGGGGAAGGAGGGAAGAGUUCAGCUUGGGACUUGGUGAAGUAAGAAGUGGAGUCAGUCGUUGUGAAUGCAGUUAGGCCAGCUGUGUUGGUGGCAGUGGUAUAAGAAUUCUGUCUUCCCCCAGAGACUGGGAGAGAGAACCUGUCCUGCUGGAUGAUUGUAUUUCAAGGUAAUGACCCUCAGGCUCUGAGCCCCUCUGAGUUGCAAGAGAUGCAUGUUGUCAAUUGCAAGUCCUUUCUAUUAAAUGACCGGAGAAAGGGAGGUUGGGGCCUGUCGCCAGGUGUGGGCCAGGACAGAGUAAGUUUUCUUGGAAGCCUUGAGCUUUCCUCAGGCAGUUGUUUUGGGGGACGAGGUGGAGGUGGGGGUGUUGCACAUGAGGCACAAACUGAGCUGAGUCCCUGAGCUCAGAGGAUUUGCUUCCAGCAGGGUGUGUGGACUUGGGGGAACACCAUCUUCCUACCUGCCUCAGGAGGACUGGGCUCAUGCAUGCCCCACCAGGAAGCCCCCCCCACCCCAGACUCUAGAGGGCAGAGGCAGUGACUGCUCUGCCUUUGGCUGCUAUGGGGAGUGCCCGUCCUCAGCCCCCCAGGAAACACACAGAGUCCCUAGCCAUCCCUGUGUUGGCCUGUGGCCUUUUCUGUGGCCAGCAGGGCCUGGUGUCCCACAAAGGAGAUGCCUGUAAGGGAGGCACAGUUGGAGGCCUGGGCUGUGAAGGGCCUUUUGCUCCUCCUGUGCUGAACAGGCAGUGUGCUAGUCCUGAACGUCAGAAUCCUGACUCAGCAAGCUGCAUCAUGACCAUUUUGGGAAAAUGCACUAAGUCCCUGGAGCUGCCUCUUGGCUGGGACUGGGCCUCCUGAGGUGCCUAUGCAGUUAUCAGAGGCCCUGGGUGGAGGCAGGAGGUCCCUCUUCAGCGCCUGCACUGGGCCUCUGUGGGGAGACAUAUCCACCCUCAGCGUCCUGACAACCAGCCCCCCCCCAUUCCCCUCUCCCCUUUCUGUCUUGUUUGACCCCCGGGCUGUUCUUCCCUCACCCCUUUAAAGGGCCAGCUUGGGCCCAGUGGACACAGGUGAGAUGCCUUGACCAGGUGGAACGUCCUCUCCUUUGCCUCCUGAGAUUAAAAGGGACAUCUUUGGUGUUACAAGCUGUGGAUGGCUGGGAGGUGGGGCUGAAGGACAUGUAAGGGGUGGGAUUGGUCUAGUUCUGUGCUUUCUGGGGCCCAGGGACAGCAAGGUGGAGGCUCAGUGUCCAGUCCCAGGAAGGCUGACCUCUUACCGCUCCUUGUCCUCAUCCUCCACUGGCCCCAGGAGGUUGAAAGCUGAGGCCAGAGUGCCCAGACAGUCAGUGCGGGAAGUGACCACCUGGCAGUGGUGAGGGCCUGUGAGGUGCCCUGCUCCUGCCCCCUCCCUAUGUGGGGUGACCUUGGGGAGACAGGUAUCUGCAGAGGGUGGAGCCGAAUGUGCCUGUGUCAUUCUCCUAGGGCUGCCUAGCAAAGUGCCACCAACUGGGUAGCUUAGACACACAGAGACUUGUGACCUCAGACUCUGAAGUGCAGAGCUCUGGAAUUGAGGUGUCGGCCGCAUUCCCCGGGAUGGUCUCCCUGCAGCCGCUCUAGUUUCCUGGGUUUGGCAGCAGAGCUCCAGACUCCAAAGGGUGUCUUUCCUGGGUCUGAUUCCUCCUAUUUAUAAGACACAAGUCUAUGCAGAUUUUUUUCUAUAAACUUUAUAAUUUUGCACUUGAAAAUUGGACUUUAUGGAUUAUUUUGAGUAGCUUUUUGGGUAAGCCGUAAAGAUUGCGUUCGAGUUUCACGUAUUUCAUUUUUAUUUUCACAACUGUUCUGCAGCCAUUCAUGGUUACAGAUUUUUUUCUCUCCAUCGAGUGGCCUUUGUCCCUUUGAGAGGACACUUGACUGGUUUUACAUGGGUCUUUCUGAGCUCAUUCUUCUGUUCCUUUUGUCUAUUUCCAAUGCCUUUCCCACUGCCACACUCUGGGAUCACUGAAGCUUUAUGAUAAGAGCUGUAACCAGAUGUGCAGAGUCUUGAACUAUUUUUUAAAAUCUCUUUAUUUUGUUUGUUUAUUUUUGUGUAGUGCUGAGGAUCCAACCCAGUGCUUCACAUGUGCAAGGCAGGUUCUCUGCCACUGAGCCACAAUCUCAGCCCCCUUUUGAGCUAUUUUUGAUCACUCCUUUGCCAUAUCUUCUAGGCUCAGCAUUUGUAGGUAUCUUCUGUGGUGCUGGGAUUGGGAUUCUGCUGCAUCUAAAGAUCAAAUUAGAAAGAAGUAUCUCCCUAACAUUAAUGGUUGAAUUGAUCCUGAGCAAGGAAAAUCACUGCAUUUAUUUAUCUUUCUUUUCAUUCCUUUCAACCAUGUUCAAAGUUCUCUGAAUGCAUACUUGUAUAUGUGUUGUCAGAGUAACCUUUCAGUAUUUCAGGAGUGCUAUUUUUUUUAGAAUUCAAAUUCCAGUAAUUCCUGUGUUGCAUACAUAUAGCAAGUUUCCUUCUCCUGGGGACCCACGUGGGAAAUGCCACAUCUGGGGAUGCCUGGGGGCCCUAAGGUGGGCAGCAGAGGUUCAUUACCCUGGGGACUCUCUUGGGGAGACAUCAUGACCUGGGGAUGCCUGGGGGCUCUGUCUAAGGUGGGGACCAGGGCUUCCUUCUCCUGGGGACCCACAUGGAGAGACAUCAUGACCUGGGGAUGCCUGGGGGCUCUGUCUAAGGUGGGGACCAGGGCUUCCUUAUCAUGGGGACCCUCUUGGGGAGACAUCAUGACCUGGGGAUGCCUGGGGGCUCUGUCUAAGGUGGGGUCCAGGGCUUCCUUAUCCUGGGGACCCUCUUGGGGAGACACCAUGGCCUGGGGAUGCCUGGGGGAUAUGUCUGUGGUGAGGACCAGGGCUUCCUUCUCCUUGGCAAUGGAGACUCCACUGUGGAUUCAGGAUGACCGAGGUCCAGGUGAGGAAAACAUGAGGAAGAAGCUUCCUGGGCACUGCCUGUGUGCUGAGGAAGAAGUUCUGCCAUGUCCUUUGCUUUCCCAGGUAAUAUUUCAGCAGAACUUCCUUUACAACAGUAUUCCUCACUGAGGGUUUGGCUGCUCGUCAUUAUGUCACUUCAGUGUGUUUUGUGUGGCCUGAGUGUAUUUUGGGGAGAAAUCCAAGGGCACAGGAGAAACCCAGAUGGCCACUCAAGAUGGUGCAGGGAGGCCCAGCGCCUGGAGUCCCACUGGGGCCUGAGGGGAAGGGCUAAUGUGCACCUCAUUGCUUGCUCUUAUUCAUGUUUUAAUGAGUAAAUUUUCUUAUAGGUUUAAGUACUUGAGAAAUAUUGAGAAGUCGAUGUGUUAAAAUUCAAAGUUACAUUAAGUGUAAAUAUUGCAUUUGUGUCGGUUACAAGAAGAACCUUGUGGUGGGGUUAUAGAUCAGGGGUGGAGUACUCCAUCCCAGGCACUCUGAGAUGAAACCAAAUGAAGAAGCAAAACACAGACUUGAAGAUCUACAGUGUAAAUUAACCACAAGUAAAGGACUUCAGAUGUAUUAAUCCAGUGUACUGCAUGCUCCUAUUAGAACCUCAUUUGUCAUUGUCUAAAAUUUAUUGGAAAUAGCUGGAGAAAUCUGUGUAUCAGUUAGGUAUUAGAU